UUUAAUAUAUUUUAACAUUUUAAUUAUAAUGUUUUGAAACUUUUGAAACUUUUAAACAGACUCAUGUAACAAUGGUUUUAAUAUUGGUCAUAUUUAUACUGAUUUUAAAUCAUUGUCCAAAAUAUUUAACCGAGUGUAGUUGAGUAUUAUAUGUCCGUUUUGAAAAUUCAAAUUGCAACAUAUGCAAAAAAAAAAAAAGUUAAAUUUUUAUUAAUCAUUUUUAUUAUAUAAUAUAAUAUCAUAAAUUAAAAAUAAUAUCAAAUAAAAGUUAAAGAAGAAUAAUAAUUGAUUAGUUAGAGAUUUAUUAGGAAAUCAUAAAAUUAGUUAUGGAAAUAAUAUAAUUUUAAAAUUAGAUAUGGAAAGUAUCCGAUAUAUGUAUCCGAACCCAAUUUAAUAUCCAAUUUUGAAGUAUCCAAUUGCUAAAAUCGGGUUAAUUUUUUAAUUUUGACCCGACCCAUAUUCUAUUUUGUACUUCUCUUUUACUAAUAUAGGGAUGACGACAACGUAGAAAUAGUAUAAUUGUAUAUAUAAUUGUAUAUUAUAUAUAUACUAUCAGUUAACCCGUGCUGCGCGCGGGAGUUUUAUAAUUUUUUGUUAAUUUUUUAUUCAUAUUAUGAUAUUUUAUUAUUUUUAAUUGAUUUUCAAAACAUAUUAUAGUUAUUUUCUCUUAAAUUAUUAUCUUACAAUAUUUAAAUUUGGAUUAAAAGCAUUUUCUUUUUGAUCAUGUUAUAAACUAAUAUUUCACUUUCAAUUUUAUUUUUCUCCUUUAUAAUUUUAUAGAUACAAUUACAUAAAUGUUGUUUUUAUUCUAUCAUAAAUUUAAAAUUUACUUACAUUCUUAAACUCAGUAACACAUUUAAAAUUUUAAACUAUGAUCAACUUAAAAUGAAAUUUGAAUUAUAUUAUUACCACUAACUAAUAAAAAAUGAAAAUAUUUAUUAUUUAACAUUUCAUUUAUUUACAUAAUUUAUUUUUAUUUAUAUAAAUUUUCUUUUAAUUAAUUAAGUAGCAUAAAUAUGCACUAAAUGAAUGUUUUAAAUUUAUUUUAAUGUAAAAAAAAUGUGGCUUAAGUGGAUGUUUAGGUGGCAUAAUGAGAAGAGAGAAAAAGCUAACUUUAUAUAUAUAGAUUCUAAAAGAUUAAAUUUGUAACAUUUCCUUCAAAAUUAGUUGUUUUGGUUUGGGAGAUUUAUGAAGAUGACAUGACCAUUUCUCUAAUACAGUAAGAAAACUACAUUUAUCUAACACGGAUCAUUCACAAAUCAUGGUAAAGUAGAUAAGUAAGUGUCCGGUUAAAUUUAAAAUAGUGAAAGUAGGACUAGUUCAAUCGAAUUAAAAAGUGCACAGCUAAAACUGCUGUUGACUUGUUUUUCCGGUUUAGUAUUGGAAAUUGCAAAACUAUUCAUAAAACUACAAGGACGAGUAAGACUAAUAAAACAUAAAAUCAAGACAUUAAAUAUUGACAUAUGUAAUGUCAAUCAAGUCGUAAAUGAUCAUACGGUUUGUGGUUUGUUGGGAAGAAUACAAAUUUGGAGAAACUAGGUUAUAAUAAAUCAAAAAAAAAAAAUGUUAUUUGUAUUGGUUAUGUAAGUUUGAUAGAUUAAUGAUUUUUUUUUUUUAAAUUAAAAAAAUAAGGUAAAGAAAUGAGGAGGGUGUGUGUGUGAAGAGGUGGUUGUACCGUACAUGCAUGGAGCUGGUAGAUUUGAAGAAGAGAGAAAGAGAGGUGUCGGCGUUUUGGUUACUGCAAAGUGACACCGUAACUAAUUACAGACCACAAGUCUUUGUCCCUUCGUCUUCUUAUUUUGGUUUAUAUCCUUCGAAAUACUAAUAUUUCAAACCUAUUCAUUUUAUUAUUCAUAUUCUAUCAUUAAAAUAUGUUGUCUACCAACUAGUAACGUACUUAUUUAUUCCUUUUAUUUGGGCAAAAAUAUCAAAAUACGGGACAAGACUGGAAAAUUGGAGAAGACGAAAAAAAAGAAGUCAUACGAAUGCAGUUAUAUAUAACCUUCAAGAAAUAUGUAAACUAAAAUUACAAGUGGUGUUAUAAAUUUCACCUAAGUCGAAGUGAUGAUAUUAACCACCUAAAUCUCACCUAAGUUAUAAAGAGUGAAGUUGAUAUCAUCUCUAAUUUUGAAAAGAAACAAAAAUUAAUGUAUUUCAGGUUGGACUUUGCCAUUACUGAAAUCCACCUGAUAUGGCCCAUACUACAUUUCUUAGGCUUUAAGUUGGCCCAAUUCAUAUCCCAGAUUUGAUAAUGCAAAGUCUAUGGACCCCUAUUUUUUUUUUUUUUUUGUCAACAUCAUACUACCCCUAUUAUAAUUUGUUUUACAGAAUCUUGAUAUAUUUUUGUUGGUGUUGUUGCCGAGAAGAUGGAUUAGUGAACACCUUUUUACAAGUAUCUGUGGGCGCUUCUUUUUAGAUGUUAAACACAAAAUGAUGAAGUCAAAAUCACUUUGGCUUAGUUUUCUUCUCCGUAUAGCCACCACCACCCUACUUUUCUUUAACCCCUUUUUAAUAUAUAUAUAUAUAUUAAGACCCAGUGAGAGAGUGAAUAAUUUAGUGUAAUCCUUAAAGGUUUUAGCCUCAAAAUAUUUAAGGAAAUGACGCAUAUUGGAGAUGCUGUUUUCGUGUCACUGAAAACAGCACGCUUUGCUUAUCUUUUGAUUCUCUCUUUUGUAAAGAAAGUGCAACCAAAACAUAAAAGUGACCAUUAAAAUAUUAUAAAAACAUUGAAGAAUGGGGAGAAACAAAUAGAUUUUUUUUUGUUUCAAUAUAAAUAUGAUUGGACCCAAAGUCGUACAACUCUGUAGAAACCCUCCAUACUUUUGUCACAAUGUCAAUAACUAUCACACUAUUAUAUUUUCCCCCAUAAUUUUCAUUAACUAUGUAUUUUUUUAUUUUUUUUGAAGCAAUAUAUGCUUUUGUUUUGUCUUCAGAAAAUUAAUCAGAAAACGUCGCUAUUUUGUAAAGACCAAAUUAAGGAAGACAAACAAAAAAGAGAAAGUUGUCAAAGAAAAAAAAAAAAAAAAAAAGGACCACAAGUUUAGUCUUUUGGCUACGAGUCUAGUCUUUUCCUACGGACCAAUCACCAAACAAACGGCUUAUAGCUUUAGCCACCACAGUCACAGUCACAGUCACGGACUCGCUCCAGCUCUCUCUCUCACACUAACGGUUCCAAUCGCUUAUUCUCAACCGCUUCACUCCGCGCGUGACUCCCAGUCCCCAAUGCGAUUCCUCUCGGAAAACAUUAUUUUGACCGCAUCGGUUAAACAAAACUCCUUUUUCUUUGAAGAAUAUGCAUGUUUCUGUUAUUUUUUAACAGCUCGGUAACUCUUUUUAUUUAUUUCGAUUUCAUGAUUCCCCCAAUCCAAAGCUUUUUUUGACUUGUAUGACGACUUUUUUAUAUGGUUACAAUUUAGUGAAUUAUUUUUUAAAAUAAAAAAUAAUAUAAAUGCAUUUUUAGUAUUUUUGGAUUGUUUGGUGUCAUCAAAAAUUAUAUACAUUACAUAAAUACAUAUAAUAACUUUCGUUCGGUAUAAUUUGCAUCAAAAGUUAUAUACUAGAGUAUAAAAUAAAUAAUACGAUCGCCAUAAGCACGUGAUCCACUCCACAGUCCCAACAUCUCAUCUCUCUCUCUCUCUCUCUCUCCUCGUCUCACCGGAGAUACAGCUGCUUCCCAUUUUUUUAUAUAAAAAAAAUCUUUUUGUUUUUAAUUAGAAAGAGGAGAAGCAAAAUUAAUACAUAUAUGGGAUUUGAAUUUAUUGUGACUUUGUUGUUUGCCUAAGAAAAAGCGAAAACACCAAAAAUGACACUCAACUUUUUUCUCUUCUUCUUCCUCUUCCUCUUCAUCCUCCUCCGUGUCUCCGCCGGAGCAGACCCUAAUUACUUCAACUCAUUACUUCCUUCCGAUGCCGUUGCUUUACUCUCUUUCAAAUCCACCGCCGAUCUCGACAACAAGCUUUUGUAUUCCCUCACUGAGCGUUACGACUACUGUCAGUGGCGCGGCGUCAAAUGUGCUCAAGGUCGCGUCGUUCGCCUUGUUCUCUCCGGCGUUGCUCUCCGUGGCUACUUCUCUUCCUCUACUCUCAGCCGUCUUGACCAGCUCCGAGUUCUUAGUCUCGAGAAUAACUCGCUCUUUGGUCCCGUUCCUGAUCUCUCGCCUCUCGUUAACCUCAAGUCUCUCUUCCUUAGCCGGAAUCAGUUUUCCGGUGCUUUCCCUCCCUCCAUCCUCUCUCUUCACCGGUUGAUGGUUCUCUCUCUCUCUCGCAACAACUUCUCCGGUUCGAUUCCGUCUGAGAUCAACGCUCUUGACCGCUUAACUUCAUUAAAUCUCGAGUUUAACCGGUUUAACGGAACCCUCCCGCCGAUGAAUCAGUCGUUCCUGACGUCAUUCAACGUUUCCGGUAACAAUCUCACCGGCGUCGUUCCCGUCACUCCGACUCUGUCCCGAUUCGAUGCGUCGUCGUUUAGGUCCAACCCUGGACUCUGCGGCGAGAUCAUCAACCGAGCUUGCGCUUCACGCUCGCCCUUCUUCGGAUCCACUAAUAAAACGAAGUCGUCGGAAGCUCCGUUAGGUCAAAGCGCUCAGGCGCAGAACGGCGGUGCGGUGGUAAUAUCUCCGGUGGUUACGAAGAAGAAAGGUAAAGAGAAUGGGUUAGUUCUUGGCUUCACCGCUGGUCUCGCUUCGCUUAUCGUCCUUGGUCUUUGCCUCGUCGUGUUCUCUCUGGCGAUAAAGAAACGAAACGACGAUGGAAUGUACCAACCAAAUCCAAAAGGAGACACGUCUUCCUCACAACAUCAAUCGCAAAUCCAAACCCCAAGAACCAGAACCGUUCCGGUUAUGAACUCGGAUUCUGAAUCUCAGAAGCGAGAGAAAGAGGUUCAGUCACUACAAGCAACGGAGCAGCUACAAAGCCGAAUACCAAAUAGUGGGAAUCUUGUUUUCUGUGGUGAAUCGAGGAGUCAAGGGAUGUAUACGUUGGAGCAGCUUAUGAGAGCUUCGGCGGAGCUGUUGGGAAGAGGAUCAGUGGGGAUUACCUACAAGGCGGUUCUUGAUAAUCAGCUUAUCGUCACGGUGAAGAGACUAGACGCCGCUAAAACGGCGGUCACGAGUGAAGAAGCGUUUGACAAUCAUAUGGAGAUUGUUGGUGGACUCAGACACUUGAAUCUUGUUCCCAUUAGAGCUUACUUUCAAUCUAAUGGAGAGAGGCUCAUCAUCUACGAUUAUCAUCCCAAUGGUAGUCUAUCCAAUCUCAUUCACGGUAAGAAUCUCAUCUUCUUUAAAUCUCCAUGUUGAAUUUACUUUUUCAAGGGUUUUAGUUUAUUAACUCACUGAGUUAUUAACUCCGAGUUUUCUUUAAUUAAUUGUGUUGAGUGUCUUAAUCAUGACGUGACUAACCGUUUCGGGGUCGUAGAGAGAGACUAUGACCCACUCUUUGUUUAUUAUAUUAAGCUUUAAACCCUAAAAAUUAUGAAAGCAUGAGUCUCUUUGUGUGUGGAGGGUUUUGUGCACACAGCUUUAUCAACUUAGUAGUCAAUUAACUUGUUGACAUUGAAGAUGACCACACAGCGACAAUCUCGGGUUUUAUUUUACUAUUAAAGUUUUGUUCUUUUGCUCUUUUUUGAAGUUGUUCAAUUACUUAGUCGUAGUGGAAGAAGAAGACAGACUUUGGUGGAACUCUGUGCUGUUUUUUUCCACGUGAAAUCUCGUCUUUUGCAAUGGCUCUGUCUCUAGACCUUGUAUUAGUGCUUAAAUGCGGGGGAAAAUUAAAACCUUUUAUAUAAAAACGCUUAUUACUAGAAUUGUAAACAUUUUCCAAGAACGGGAGAAUUGCAUCUUAAGAAUGUUUGUUUCCCGGUAGUGCUUGAUUUGCUGCUUCUUGGCCCCAUAUUGUAGUACCAAAUGAUGACACUUCUAAUUACUCUCAUAAUUCAGGUUCAAGAUCGUCAAGAGCAAAGCCAUUACAUUGGACAUCAUGUCUAAAGAUUGCAGAAGAUGUAGCUCAAGGCUUAUAUUACAUCCACCAAACCUCGGCAGCAUUAGUCCAUGGAAACCUAAAAUCCACAAACAUUCUCCUGGGACAAGACUUCGAAGCCUGUUUAACAGAUUACUGCCUCAGUGUCUUAACAGACUCGUCUGCUGCCUCACCUGAUGAUCCUGACUCAUCCGCCUACAAAGCCCCUGAGAUCAGAAAGUCAUCCCGCAGACCAACUUCAAAAUGUGAUGUUUAUUCGUUUGGUGUAUUGAUCUUUGAGCUUUUGACCGGUAAGAACGCAUCGAGGCAUCCGUUUAUGGCGCCUCACGAUAUGCUUGAUUGGGUUAGAGCAAUGAGAGAAGAAGAGGAAGGAACAGAGGACAAUAGGCUUGGGAUGAUGACUGAAACAGCUUGUCUCUGCCGUGUGACAUCGCCAGAACAAAGACCAACGAUGAGACAAGUGAUUAAGAUGAUUCAGGAGAUUAAGGAGAGUGUGAUUGCUGAAGAAAACGAUCCGUUCCGGUAAAACAAAAAACAUCCGGUAGGUUCCCUCCCGAACAAUUUUCCGAGCGGAGGGGGUUAAUUUUAGAUAAAGGAGAACAUAGGGCUCGUAAAUGUAAUUUUCUUAGGAUGUGAGGUCGGAAUUGUAAUACCGUUGGAAUUUAGAGGACAAAAGUCAAAGAAGUAUGCUUUUUUUUUGCCUUUUCCGUGGAUGAUAUCAACCGUUGAAGAUUGGAAUUUUUUUUACCACAAAUAAUUGUGGAUUCAAUUGUCUUGUGGCUCCACCUGUGUCAGAAUAUUUAUGAUCCAAAGCCAGAGAAGCCAAAAGAAUUCCCAAUUUUUUUCAUUUUGGUUAAAAAGAAAGUAAAAAAAAAAGACAGUAUUAUACCUUUCUCAUUCUCAAAAUAAUAAUAAUAAUUGUAUGAAAUGCAAAAUCUCUUAUCAUAAUGCAAGGGAUGUUGGUUUGAAGAAAACAAACGUAAGGUUUAAGAAACUGUUGUAGAAUCACCAAUAAUUUGUUUUUUUGUUUGUUUUUGCCUUCUCAAGUUACUACGUUUUGGUCCAUAACUGUGUCAAUGCAAAUUUCGAUUAGAACAGAACGUUAUACAAGUCAGCCUAUUUAGGAACUAUUUCAAGAAAAAGAAAAAAGCCCGUGUGUAAAUAAACAGCCAUCUUACAUUACGAGGCCAAGUUUUGAUAUCAGCGGCCCAAAUAUAUAUAUCCAUAAAAGUCUACCAGAUAGAUGGUACCAAGAUAUUGUGCAUUCCCUACGCUACACACAAAGAUUUAAAGUAUGUGGAGUAUUUCUUAAAUAUUAAAUUCGAGCGUAGGAUUGAGACAGUAAAUCACUGUUGACUUGAUUUAUUAUCACACUUUCAAAUUUAGAAUCUCCACAUAACAAACCCGCCUCAUUGUUCAUUGUUGCAUUCAUUGUUAAUCCGAUACUACUUUUGCAAGAUUUAUAUUUUUGUUUCGACUCUGAUUUAGGGAGAUUUAAUGAGUUUACGCCUUUUCGUUAACUAAGCUGUUAAGCAUAAAUACUUAUACGAAUUCUUUUAAACAUUAUCGUUCGUGUGAACUUGAAUCUUUUUUUUUUUUUUUUCUUAUAAGAUCUGACGCAACUAAUCUAUUAUUGUAUCUAUCGGUUGGUGUGUUAUAUUGAUUUAAAUCAAAGAUCAUCACCAUCUAUAAAUAUAAAUGUAUGAAAAGGAACCGUAUUGGACUGGUUCUGUUGUAUUGUUAUAAACUUCUAAACAUAUAGAAAAAUAAAAUGGCGACCCCCCAUAAUUUGAAAAAUACUGUAUAAAAAAAAAUAACAUGUAAACAAAGUGGUCCAGUUUCUUGUAUAAAAAUGUAAUGAUAUUUUUUGCUUUUUCCGCGGUAAUUGGCACCAUGUUCACGUGCCAACUGGGUCACAGCUAAAAGUUUCAUUAUUUAAAAUUCUCAUAUAUUUUUCUCCCCUAGUGUUAAAUUAUUUAUUUUGUAAAUUUAUUCUUGUAAAAUUAAGAAAUUGUUAAACCAAAGUCGUGGGAACAAUCCAAAAUUAUCACUCAAUUCCCUACCCCACAGAUUCUAUAUGAUAAUUUCCGGUAUAUAUAUUUGUUUAUUAGAAUUCUUUUGCGUGUAACGAUUCCCAAAUGAUCGUAGAAUUAUUAUGAAAGGAACAUAAAUUGCUAAUUUAAUUUUGUUACAAUAUUAUUUAUUCUUUGUUUGUUCCUAACAAAUAUAUAUAUAUACAUAUGGAAACGUUAAAAUAUAAUCGGAGUAACUUAUUGAUAUAUAAUAUACAGACGUGUAUAUACAUAUAAAAUUAAAGACCACCUAAUAAAUUUUUGAAUGCAACAAAAAAAUAAAAUAAAAAUUGAAUAGAGAAAAAAGUAUAUUUAGAAAAGUAAAGACUUAUGGAGGUGUGUAUAUAGUAGUAGCAGAUAGAUGGGUUCACAUCACAAAGCAAAUUAUUGAAAUCGUGAAGAAACAAGUCAAGAGAGCUGCAACAACAUCAUAAAAUAUGGUCCAAGUUAUAUAUAUUAGUAUAUAAUUAAAAGGAUUAUUGUUAAACAUAAAUUAUGUUGAUGUUGAGCUAAUCCAUUCUUCUUAUAAACUAAACAGAAUAAAUAUCGUUAUCCGAAAAAAAAACAAAUAUUAUUAUUAUUAAAGGGUAGAAAAUACAGCUCAACACUCCUGAAACUAACAUAAAACAAUUAUUGAAAGAUCGGUUCUUUCGCGGAUUGACAUUUAUCUUAAAAACAUUAAUCAAAUCUCCCACCUGCUGUAUACAAAUAUUUAAAGUGUCACUAUUAAUUAUACAUAUAUAUAUGCUUAUUGUUGUUAUAUUUGUUUGAUCGUAUUAUUGGUUAGUGUUGUAGUUGAAUAUUUGGUUGGGAAACAAAUUUUCUUAUUGUAUAAUUUACUCAUUUUUUUUAUUUUGUUGGUAAUUAUAUAUAUAUAGCUUAUGUUCUUAAUAAACACUUGAUUGGGUUUUGCAUAAAAUUAAAAUAUGAUAAUGGAGCGUAAGUGGGAUUAAUACCAAAAUUCUCCUUGUCAAUAAAAAUCAAAGGAGAAGAGAGAAAAAAGUGAAAAACGGGGGGAAUAGGGAAUCAAAGGGACAAAAAGGACAAAACACAAUACGUGUCGUAAUAAGAAGAGUACACAACUCAACACAUAAAAGUCAAUUCCUAACGGUAUCUCUCUCCUCAGCCCACCGACCACCGACCUACCUUCCUUCCUCCACUAUCUUUAUACCGUAUGUAUUCGUAUGUUAAUUUGUUAUCAUACAGUUACAAAUUUAUUUUAUGUUUCAUUUUUGUUUUCACCACCAAGACGGCAAAUAAAAACAAAAGCAACGAUUACGAAGCGGUUUCAGUUUUUAUUUUGAUUGUAAAGUACUACUUCAAAUACUAAUACGAUUUACAAAAGAAGGGAUGCGAUGAUUUUUAUAAUACAAAUAUAAAUUAUCCUAGUUUUAUGUGGCGCCAAAAACCCAAAACAAAAACCGAAUUUGUUAUAUAAAAGAAAAGUUGUGUUAGAUUUAAAAGUUAAAACUAUAAAGUUUAAUGCCGAAGUAAGAGAAGUUUAUGGAAAAUAUAUAUGGAAUUAUUUUUUGUGUUUCUCCUUUAUAAAAAAAGAAAUUUGACUAACCAAAAAUGUUGUCCAUGUAUGCAGUAGUAAAGUUUUCAAUCUUUUUAAUAUUUUGUUCUCGAUAAAGACCGUUGGUAAAGUUUUCACCAGUCAAUAUGAUUUAGUGUUAUUAACAUAGGAUUAUAUCAUAUGAUAAUCGAAUUUUGGCGAUGAUUAUAUAACUUUGUCGAUCUAUGCAGAGUUAUUAGGUAUCUUCUUUAGUAGAAUUUGGUUACUAAUAAUUUAGUAGAUAAGUAUGUGUAUUGGCGGAGGUAUAUAUUCGUAGAUAAAAAAAAAUAAUGGUUUUAAAAUAAAAAGAAACACACAGAGGUUUUGCGUACUAUAAUACAUAUGGAUAGCAGAAAAAAUAUUAUAUGAAGAAAUAAUAAUAAUAAUAAAAGAUAAAAUAAAUGUAGAAAAAAAAGAGAUGCGCAUGUCAUCUCCACCACCUCUUCUUCCGCCUAUCCUCUUAAAAAGUUUCUGUUCCAUUAAAAAUUACACAAAAAUCAUCAUCACACAAAGAUACAGCUUUCAUCAUCUCCGUCUCGCUCCCAUUUUUUUUUUAUCUUUUUUUUUUUUUUUGGUAUCUUUUUUUAUUUACAAAACUGAUAAAUUUUGGAGCGAAACAGAUUUUUAUUUUUCUAAUAGGAAAAGGAAAACAAGAAGAAUUGUUUUUUUUUUUUUUUGUGAUAUAUAUAUAUAUAUAUAUAUAUAUAUAAAGAUGGAAAUCAAAGUUUAUCUUCUAUAAAUCCAACUAACCUAAAAUUCUCUCUUCUCUUAACUUUCUAUUUUUUUUCUUUCUUGUCGGUGAAUUUGGAUUGUUCUCUUCCUCCAUCAUCAUAAUACCACCUGCUGCUACCUCCCUCCUCCUCUAUCUCCUGCUCCGACAAAUUUAUUCUCUGUCUCUGUCUCUCUCUCUCUCUAAAACCCAUCUCGAAAGUGUUUCUCUUUGGAGGGUUUAAUCAUACUUCCUCCUCCAUGGACGGCGACGCAGUAACUGACGUGGCAGUGGGCGGUACGAGGAAGAGAGAGAGACCAUACAAAGGAAUAAGGAUGAGGAAGUGGGGAAAGUGGGUAGCGGAGAUUCGAGAGCCAAACAAGCGCUCUAGGUUAUGGCUCGGCUCUUACUCCACCCCCGAGGCCGCCGCUCGUGCUUACGACACCGCCGUUUUCUAUCUCAGAGGUCCUACGGCCAGGCUUAACUUCCCUGAGCUUCUUCCUCUUGACAAAUUCUCCGACGAGGAUAUGUCGGCUGCCACCAUCAGGAAAAAAGCUACCGAGGUCGGUGCUCAGGUUGAUGCUUUAGGCACCGCGGUUCAGAAUAACCGCCACCGUGUCUUUGGUCAGAGUAUAGAUAGCGACGAUGAUAAGAAGAACUUUCAUCGGGAUUAUCAUAACGGUGACCAAGAAGAUGAUGAGGAAGAGGACGACGACAAGAGGUUCAAAACUGCCGGCCGGUUCUUGGAUCGGGUUGACUUGAAUAAGUUACCCGACCCGGAAAGCUCCGAUGAAGAAUGGAAAAGCAAAUAUUAAUAAAAAUAUAUUAUAUUUUGGGAGCGGUGGCUGCUGCUAACGUACGCCGCGGCUUUGCUUCUACGAAUCAUUAGCGCCGUUUAUGAUUUUUUUUUUUUUAGUUAUUAAUUUUGUUUUGGUUUUGUUUUUUUUUUUUUUUCCUUUAUUGCGGAUUUUGCGGUUUAUGGAAAUUUUAGGCUAUUGCUUAAAGAAUGCAAAAAAAAAUGUAUAUUACUCUCUACUCAUUAAUUACUCAUUAAUGGAAAAAUUUCGCCCUAAAUCUCUUUGUUUUCUUUACUUUAGUUAGUGUAUACCGAGCAUGUAUUCCAAAACUUAAACUAUACCUAAGUUCUAUUUUUUUUAAGGAAACUUAAACUACACAUAAGAAUUCCUAUUUUUUGAGGGAAAUCUUUAUAUUACUGAUCAGUUGGAAAGGUCCUCUUUAUAAAACAAUUAAGAACAGUUUCUAUGAUGUUUAAGAAAAUGCCCUCUUAUGGAUUUAAAUCGAAGGGAUGGGAUAACAAGUUGAAUAAUAAUAAUAAUAAUAAUGGGACAAAGUAUGACCUACAUGCAUAUAUCAUAUAAAAGCAACUUGACAUUGUCUAUCUCUCUAUUAAUUACGUCUCUAUAUCUUUUUUUUUCUUUUUCUAAUUCAUAAAGUUUGUAAUAAAUAAUAUAUAUAUACAUUACUUAGAAUGUAUAAAUAUGUAAGAUGGAUAAGAUUUUUGAGUCGUCGGGGGGUGUUUUGUUUUUUGUCUUCUGCUCCAUUUCCAUUUGUUCUGUGGGUACCAUUUAGAUUUUAUAUGCUCCAUCUUUUUCAGUUCUAUUAUUACAAAUUCAUUAUUGUCGCUUAUUUAUUUAUUUUUAGAUGUGUUUAAAUCUUUUUAAUAAAGUUUUUCUUACGUAUAUCAUUUUAUAUCGGAGCUUGAAAGUUUCCUUCGCCAUGCAUUUUAUAAUUAUCGUAUAGUAUUAUCUAUUUGUGACAGGAGGCAAGGGGAAUUAAUUAAGUUGCACCUAUUAAUCGCCUCUCUUUAUAUAUAAUGCAUAUUAUGUAUUGCAUUUCUUCAUUCUUUAUUUUCUUGUCGGCGCAUUUCUCCAUUUUCUUUUGAUAGGUAUGCAAAGCCCUUUCUCGUGAGGGGGAAGAAACAAAAAUAAAAAUAAAUCAUUAUCUUCCUUGGUUUAUACUUUAUCUCUCUUUUAAAAAUUAAUCUAUAUUUCUAAAAUUCAAUACAUAUUUUUCUAAAAAACUUGACUUUAAAUACAUCAUUUAUCAUUACUAACGACAAAAAAAAUAAUGUUUAAGAAAUUUCUGUUUCUUGAAUUAAUGAAGAAUGGAGGAGAGAGAGAUAUAUAUAUAUAUAUAAUGUAUAAGUGUGUUUCUGUUUUAGUAUCUUUGUUAUUAUAAAAAAGGAAAGAAAAAAAAAACGAAGAUACCAAAAAAAGAAAGAGUACAGGUGGAUAAGUCCAAGACAAGAAUGGCAAAGGUGGAGCUUUGAUUUGAUAUUUGAUCGGCCUUCACUUUUUCUUCUGUUAGUAAAGCUUUCUUUUUUACCUAAAUCAUUCACGAACCCAUCCACAAAUAUUUUAAUUAGUUUUUUUUUUCUUUGAAUCUUGUUGUAGACUGUGAGAGCAUGUUUGGUUUUUGUUAAUAAUAAUUUUAUAUCAGAGAACUAAAUGAAAAUAAACUGAAAACCAGUAUAUAUAUAGUGCUAUAAUUGAACCGUAAUCACGAACUGACCAAAGACCAAUGGGGAAACACGGUUCGACUGAUCAAUAUUAUAAAAUCAUUGACCAUGUCUCCAUCUUCCCCGAACUUCCUGUCUGAUCCUUGUUUCUCGUUGUCAUUAUCUCGUUGGAGUUAUCUAUAAAAUUGUUUCAACCACAACCAAAUCAAAAAAAAAAGUUCAUACUUUGCAUAGUAACGGGCAAAGGCUGAUUUAUAAAUUAGUAUCCAAGUUUAAGAUCAGGGAACUAUAAAUAUUUGUAGGCUAGAAUCAAUCUUGGAGUUAUAUUGCUUAAUCGAGAAACAAACGCACUAUAUAUAUAAAAUUUAAUCAAAAUCAGGUUAUACUGGCCGAUACGUUGAUGAAUGAUAAAGAUGAAAAAUUAAAUGGGCUUUUUGAAAUAAGGCUUAUUAUUAUAACACCAUAAAUAUAUUUUAAAACAAAAUAAAAGUACGUCAAUUUUUUGUAAGCUUAACUUUUGGGUCUAAUUAAGGCCUCAACUCAUUUGGUAAGCCCAGUUUAGCCCAUGAGAUAUCGCCAGUUUGUUUGUUGUUUACUGCGGACAAAAUCAAGGUGCGGUCUCGUUCUGCAAAGAGCUGAAAAUAUAAAGGUGACUGACUUUCGUAUUAGACGAAUAAGACGACUUUCAAAAGAUUUUCCUUUUCACAAGUUUGAUUCUUUCUUUUUUUCUUUUAUUAUUCUUAUUUUGUCGAUUUCUUGCGCGAUGCCUUAUACCAAUGUGGUAUGUACUACAGUAUUUGGUUUGCAUUGGUCGAAUAAAUAAAUAAACAAUUUAUUUGUAGAAAGUUUCUUCAAUUCCAAUUCGAGGCAAAGUUUUCAGCAUCACCAGCACCUAAUCGUAGCCUCUAUAUCUCACGACUCACACAACGCCAAGAAGAGUGAUAUUUUAGUUAUUUCAAGCGACUGAGGAGAUUAUUGUUUGAAAUGAAAUAUGCAUAAGUUAAAGCUUCUAAAAAGCCACCCUGCUCCCAGAUUUGAAUGCAAAUUAUUAAAUACAACAGCAAUCAACUACAGUGACAUAUCUAUAUAAAGGACAUUAUGACGAAGUAGAUAUGUGUUAUGUAGUAGUAGUACAUGUUUAGAUGUGAAACAGGUUAGCUAGAUACUUCAAAUAAGAAAAAAAAGAGAGUGUUGUAUUCACGUGAGUCACGUUUUAGCAGAGAGGUAAUCAAAUCAAAGCUUCCGUGAUCUUAAAUGAAAUGUGGAGCCCACAUUAUUUUCAACUGUCUGGAUUCACCGACAGUACGAGGAUGAUUUUAUCGACAACCGUCCGAUGUUUCCAAGCUGUCAUCGGCUCUCUUUUUUUUUUUUAAUAUAAAUUAAAGAACAAAUAAAUAAAACAUAUUCUAGUCUACCUACAAAUUAUAGGAUUUCUACGUUUUGAGAUGAUUGUGCCGACACACUUUUGGUCUUAUAUAUGUGUCUCUCAUUAUUUUAAAGUUAUUUUUUUUUUGUUUUUAAUAGAGCGAUCACUAGUGAAAGGUUUUUAUACAAGCCACGUUUAUCAUGUACAUAAUUUUUUUAAGAUUAAUAUUUUAAUUACGUUGUUUAGUCAAAAACUGGCUAUAUAAAGAUUAUCAUCAUGAUGAUAAGAUUGAAUCAAAGACGUGGACAAGCAUAAACAUAACUAAAAAUGUCGUGAAACUGAAUCUUUAUGAAAUAUGUGAAGACAUUAAACAAAACAACUCUAAUUUAGAAACAAUUUUUUAAACCUCUCACAAGUUUUAGAAAGAAAAAAAACACUAUUAAUUUUAGUCGAAAUCUAAAUUAGUUUUGGAUACAAUAGUUGAAAUGGCAGUACGUAAACUGAUAUAUACAUCAUGGGUUUUCAGUUCAUAUAUGAUCAAAUUUAAAGCCAAAUCAUAAAUAUUCAACAUAUAUACAUGUAUCCUAGAUUUUGAUUUCCAUACAUUUUGUUACACAACACAAAUAUAUAUGCUAAUCAAUCAAUAAUUUGAUAGUUUGGUAACAAUAUCUCCUCUUGAGGCAUCUUCUAAGUGGUUGGAUUCCAUGAUAGGGGAAAAAAGGCAAUCUACGAUAUAAAAAGAAAGAGAAACUUAUCAAUCCGACCGAUAUGAUUUGUUAGCGAGACAAUGGUGGGGCAAAGAUGGCCAUUGUGGAAUCGACAACACAAACAUAUUAUAUAUCAUCAACAGAUGCAUAUAGAGAGAGGGUUUCUUGAUAUAAUUACUACUUAGGGAAAGAAACAGAGAGCAUCAAAGCAUCGUCAUAGUUCCAUUAGGGGAAGGUUUGGCUUUUUCCUCCACCCUCCCCACUUGUAUAUGUAUAUUAUUCUUCUUUCACGCUUUCGCUCUCCUUUAUUUCUUCUUCUUACCCACACCUAUUCUUUGCUUUUACCUAAAACUACUUAACACGUAUUUAGUAAUAUGCGUUUUAAAAAAAAUUGUCUUAUAAAGAUUACAUUAUAAUCUCUUUUUUCUUUGGUCGGCAGGGAGACACUCCUCUAAUAUUCUCUUGUUUACACUUCACCAAGAUGUCUUUGUUGAAUUUUAAUUAUUGCUUGAAAUAUUAGUACAUUUUAGUGAGAAUUAACUUUCCUGAUUAUUAACUAAGAACAAACAAAAAAACUGUUGUACAUAUAACAUAUGCUGAAUAUAAAUUUUUUAAAUUUACAUAUUUUCCUAAAAUACUAAACCGAUGCAUAGGUACCGUAUAUUAGCAAACCGAUUUUUAUAUGAUAUCGGUUAAUUGUUUCUUUAAAAGUUGAUGUAAAUAUUAUUAAUAACAUGUGAAAAGGGAGCGUGAGAACACGCAUGGGAAAGCCAAGAGAGAGUGAAGAAGACUUGUUUUCCCGUACUCUUGGAUUGGGGCAUUUUCGGUAUCACAUCCCUUUUUAAUUUUUUACAUCACAUUAUCUCCGUUUGCUUCUUUUGUUUCCUCAUACAAAACUCUUUUCACGGAUUUGUUCAUCGUUUUUUAUUUUUAUUUUAAAAUUAUUUGUAAUAUAUCUGUCUCUCAUAUUUAUGUAUUCAGAUUACAAUGGACAAAUAUAAUUAUCGAGUACUACUAGUCUACUAUAUACAAAGAGAGGGAAAACGAUAUAUAUAUAUAUAUAUAUAUAAAAGAGUGAAAAAAUGAUAAAUAUUAGAGUACCAAGCUGGAGUAGGAGAAAUUAAAAUAGUACAAGAAAUUAAAUAAGAUGACAUAUACUCCCAUCUACAUCCUACAUUUCAGUCCAUAAUAAUUUUUGAAUUUCUGAAUUUUGCUUUCCUCUUUUUCAUAUAUAUAUAUAUUUUUUAAAAGAGAAAAAUGCAGUGAUGUCAAAUACCCAGGAGACCAAAAACUAGGAGACAGUCUCAUGCCCCUUGUAUUGGGAAAGAAUCAUCAUUUUCAUAUAUUUUUAUUUCGUAUACAUAAACUUUUUUUUUUUUUUCUAAUAUAUAUCAUUGUUCUGCACCACUCUAGUGAUGGAUGAAUAGGGUCAGAUAUUUGUAUUCAUAUGGAUCCUCUUCGUAAUCUAUUUAUUUAUUACGAGUUUAUAUAAUAACCUUUACUCGUUCUUGUUGUCUUCUCAUCUCUUAGUCUUUAUUGUUUCUCCCCAAAUUUUCUUCUUCUUUCCUUUUGAUCAAGAAAAGAAAAAAGAAAGAAUGUGGAACCUUAACGACUCACCGGAUCAUCACGAUGAACAAGACAGCAGAGGGAAUCGGCUCGGACACGUGUCAAACUACGUGAGCCAAUCUACCACGUGGCUACCGUCUGUGCCUCCGGUGACCCGGAAUUUCUUCCCGAGUCAAGUCAUGGAACCAGGAGUUCGAGAGAUGUUUGGUUCCGGUUUCAACAACAUAAACCAAAGUGUCGGUAAGUCGGAUCCAAGUGGGUCGGGUCGACGACCAGAAGAGCCGGCGCCGGAGAUAUCCCCGCCGUUAAAGAAGAGCCGACGCGGUCCUCGGUCACGUAGCUCUCAGUACAGAGGAGUUACGUUUUACCGACGAACCGGAAGAUGGGAGUCACAUAUUUGGUAUUCCCUUUUUUACAUAAUAUCAACCAUCUCAUAUCUUGUACCUUUAUUAUUUAUUGUAUACCUUUUUUUUUUAAUCACUUGAGUUAUUUUUCAUAAAACGUUUUUUGGAAUAUAAUUAUGCAGGGACUGUGGGAAGCAAGUGUACCUAGGUAUGGGUUCAUAUCAAUUUGUUUACGAAUCUACUGUUAUGUGUGUGUCCAUAUUUGUUUCUUCUGAUUGGUGUUACAUUACAUAUGCAUAUGCAGGUGGAUUUGACACAGCACAUGCCGCUGCUCGGUAUGUUUCCUCUACCAAAUAAUCAAUUAGCAUGAACCUAAUACUUUAGUACUAUUCUUUUUUACCUAGUUAUAGAAUUAAUUUUGGGUUAGUAAUUAUUUGUGGCAGUGCCUACGAUCGAGCGGCAAUUAAAUUUAGAGGUGCAGAUGCAGAUAUUAAUUUCGACAUUGAAGACUACAUGGACGAUUUGAAACAGGUUAUAUAUUAUUAGGUUCUAGUGAUUUUAAUACUAGUCAGAAGAAAAAUACUGUUAAAAAUAUUUGCUAUUGUGUGUGUGUGUGCAGAUGGGAAAUUUGACAAAGGAAGAGUUUAUGCAUGUUCUUAGAAGGCAAAGCACUGGGUUUCCAAGAGGCAGUUCUAAAUACAGAGGUGUUACUUUGCACAAAUGUGGUAGAUGGGAGUCUCGUUUGGGUCAAUUUCUCAACAAAAAGUAGUAAAUUUACUUUGAAGGUUUUUUUAGUCAAAUUUUAAAACUUUUCUUUCUUCAUUAAUUCGAAUGUGUCCUGUUUGUUUUGAUUUCUUUCUCAUUUAAGGUACGUUUAUCUGGGUCUCUUUGAUACCGAGAUUGAAGCUGCAAGGUACUGUUAUGUUGUUGUUCACCGUCGCAUCAUCACGUUUCAAAUAAUAAAUAUUGGUACGAAAUAUUUAACUUUUUACACAUGCGAUUUUGAAUACAGAGCUUAUGAUAAAGCCGCAAUAAAGUGUAACGGGAAAGAUGCAGUCACCAAUUUUGACCCUAAAGUAUACGAGGAAGAAGACCUUAUCCCAGGUAAUAUUUUAUUUUUAGCCUUGAGAAAAAACACAAGUUUACCCCCAAUCAUCAAUUUCCUGGUAAACCCCAACAGAGAUGAAGUGGAAUGGUCAUAAUCUUGAUCUAAGUCUGGGAGAAUCAAACUUGGAAGAGUUAGGAUUCAAAUCCGAUGUAAGAGUGUUCAUGUUCGUGUUUGUUUAUAUAUAUCAUUUUGGUUUUGUUUGAAGAUAAUUAAGAAAAUUGUUAUAUUUGGUUUUGAUGACAUUUUAAAGAAUAGGACUAGAGAUGAGGAAAGAUCACUGGGGAGUGAUCUAUCGCUAGCCAUGACGACGACAGCAGUCAGAUCGGAAAAACAAUCAGACGGUGGAGGAAAACGAGCGGGAAUGGCAGCAGCAUCAUCAGGAUUCUCUCCUCACCCUUCUCCUUGGCACCACCACACUCCUAACAACUUCCACUUAUUUCGUCACUGAUUCAUUCAUCAUCUGAGCUUAGAGUGAAUCCAAAUAUGCUUUGGAUCAUUUGAAUUACCAUUUCUCGAGUUAUUUUUUUUUUGGCUCCGUCUAUGUGAGUAUAUAUGCUCUUGGGUCGAUAUAAGAGUUACUUCUUUCAAUAAUUUAAUCAGACAACAAAAGCUACUAAAUCCUAAACUGAAUUUCAUACUAAUAACAGACCUGAAGCUGUUUUGUGAAAUUUGCAGUGAGUCUUCAAAUAAUCAUCAGUUUUCCCCUGUAAAAGAGAGAAACCAAACCUCUUUAUAGUAACCACUCACUGUUUUCGCUUAAAACAGACAAAAGGGUUUUGGUGUGAAUAGUGAAAGUGUAAUCACCUUAUUUGACUGAGUAAUAUAUUAUAUACACAGAGCACCAACAUCUGGUGCAAUAGCUUCAACUUCAUCUGAUGUUCCUCUCCUCGUAUUCUUCCUUCCCUUCUUCGACUCCAUUGUUUGGCUCCUGCAAAUUAAUUAGUAAACUCUGAUCUUAAGUUCAGUCCUGUUUUGAAAGUUUAGUAGGACAGAUUUAAGAAACUUACACUAAUAGUUUAACAGAGGAUCUCCCAGUUGCUGUUCCACAGCAAGACUUGUAUUUCCUCUUAGAACCACAUGGACAGGAUUUAUUCCUCGGGACCUUCUGCAGUUUUUGUAAAAAUCCGUUCAUAUCCUUUAUGCAAUCUAAAGGAAAAAGCUUUCUCAUGUUUAACUGAGUCAACGAACCUUAUCAUCAAUCUGUGAACUGCACUUGGCAUGGACUGUUUCGAUGUCACUGCAGGUAGCUGAUUCCUCCUGGUUCAAUUCUUCUUUGUGUUGCUCGUUAUUAUCCAUUGUACUAUCAAUUACUUCCUUUGCAUUUGUGGUAUCUGCUGCAGAGGCGGUUUCUGAAUCAUAAGAAUCCAUUCCCUUCUCUGCUAGCAGGAAUUCUAUCGCAGCAUCGACAUCACCAUUUACUUGUACUAGAACCUAAAGGGAGAUUCCGGAUAAGAGAUAACAAAUGAUCAUAUUUUCUUACACAUUAAACAAGUAUCGUCUUAUCACCUGUUCAGCUUUUUCAGCAUUGUCACAGCAACUACCAGACAUAACCACUUUGAUAUCCCCAGCAUCCACACUACGUCUAUCAUCUUUGUUUUUGGACUUGCUCUCUGUGGCUUUCGCUUGUUUAGCUGCUGCUGAAACUUUAGCAUCAGCCUUUCACAAAACUGGAAUUUAUUAGGACAGAGACACAGACAUUUAUGUAUACUAUAAACAGCGAGCUAAGGUUUGAAGUAAAACCUCUAUUAUAACAGGUCUGGCUGGUCCCCCACAAGCAUCUUCCUUGGAACGCACACUGUUGUAAUGUUCCCCAUCGUGGUACGACCUUCAAAAGGAACUAUUAAAUACAUGCAAAUUCAAAAAUCUCCAUCUUAGCAGAUCAUACAUGUAAUCAGCAGAAUCAAGUACUCACAGAUGGAUCAUGCGGGUUCGUGUAUCUUCAAAAUUGCGUAUAUACCAACGCGGUGACAUGCUCUACAACAAAUAGACAAAUGCUCAAACAGACGUAUGUGUUAAAAGGGAACAGAUCAUGAAAAGAGGCAUUAUUGUUACCCUGUGAAUACAAAUAUUACUGCGUGUGACAAGAGAAGCAGCCUGUAGUUCCAUAUUCCCAGCCCAAGUGCCAUCGUCAUCCAUGGUUUUACAGUAAUCAUCGAAGGGGACAUCAUCUUCAAUAAAAGGCUCAAACAUCUCACGAUUUUUCUGUAAAAGCCAUUGAGAGUAUAUAUAUAUAUAUAGGUGGGUACUUCCAAAAAUCUAGACUUGUAUGAAAUGCCACUUACUUACCACUAUAUACUGUACAACCAUGUUACGGUACUUGUUGUGUUCAUCCUCAUUGCCUUCUAGUUGAUCGGCAAGUGCCCUGUGAAGAGAAUAAUCACAAGUCAAUCUUACACAAUUUGCUUUGUCUUCUCAAACAUAAACGAAUUCGAUGAUCAAAACAAAAACACAGACCUGAAGAAACAAUUACCGUCUGAAGUAACUUGGAUAAUCUUAAGCCCUAAAGCGUCAAGCUGAGCACGAAACUGAGAGAGAUCACAAUCUUUUCCUUGUUUCUUCUUCUUCACCUAUGAAUCAAUCAAACAACGGAAAACACAAAACUUUACAAUGAUACGACAUAGCAUAACAGGACAAUACUAAUCGAAUAUGUGUUGAACCAAAGCAGCAGCAAUAGAGGAAUUUUAAAAUCAGAUAUGUUGAAGUUUAAUAAGCAAAUCGAAAUUAAAAUAAAAGGCUUGGAGAAACAUGACGAACCUGAUGCGGUUGUUUCUUAGGCUUAGAUUUUUGUUGCUUAGUUUUCGCCAUUAUCAAAUCAGAUGGAAGGAAUAUGAAAGCUAGUUAGUCGGGUAGUUGCGGCGGCACAAUGAGAAGCAGAAUCAAAAUUCUGAACCGUUUCGUCGCCGCCGGAUUCUCCGGUGACAUACGUAUAGAAGAACAAUCAUGUACUAGACUAUUGGGCCCGAUAAUUGUUUAACCAAUAAAACUGUAUCAAAAUGGGCCUUCAGGAGGCCCAUCAAGCUUCGAAACUACAGACAUUGGACUAGUGGAUGUGGAUAUUGCUUCAUGGCUUUAUGCUUUGGUCAACAAUUUUACACGAUUGAUGUGUUUUGUCUCGUGACUUUUCUACCAUCUCUGUGUGUGUGAGUGAAACAUUAUCAAAACUCACGCUAUUAGCUUAACAUAUAAAAACAUUUAUAUUAGUUCUGUAUCAUGUACACUGGUAUGACUUUCCUCAAGUCUCUUUGUAAACCCUAUCUUUAACUCAAUAUUAAUCCAGUUGACCCAAAAAAAAAGAAUCCAAGAAUUGAAGUCAAUUAAUAAAUAUACUUUGUAAUUGUUAAAUUAUUGACAUUCAUGUGUUGUAUUGCACUAAAAUUUUAUAUCAGCAUCAGCAUCAGCAUCAGCAUCAGCAUCAGCAUCAGCAUCAACCAACGAUAAAGACAUUAUAAAGUCAUACUUUAACAAAAGAAGAUAAAAGUAAUGCCAAAUACGAGCCAAUCAUUUAGAUUUUUUUUUUUCUUAACAGAGAUUUUAUAUUCAGUUACACGAACCUAGUCUUUGUUUAUACUUGUUUUCUGUUAAACAGGUUUGUUGUAUUAUACAUAUCACAAAAUACCAAAAUAAAAUAUGAAAAACGAGGGAGGGCACAGAGUCUUUAAUUAUUAGUGGUACCAUAUAAAGUAUAUGAUGUAACCUGUUUGUUGGUCAGGUUAAUUAAUGGACUCAUUUAUACAUACAGAAGUCACGAUUGCCUUCGAGAAGAAAGAGAGCCUCACGUUUACCCAAAAAGCUCCGUAACGAUGGAAGGAAACUUUGUGGUGAUCUCAAAGAGCAUCGUAAGUCUCAGAAACUUUAAGGAACCGACUACUGUGAAGAAGAAGAUUCAUCUGACUCCAUGGGAUCUCGCUCGUCUUCGCUUUGGUUAUCUUCAAAGAGGUCUUCUCUUUCCCAAACCUGAUCCCAAAAUUGACAUCAUCGUCUCUCGAUUGCAAGCUUCACUCUCUGUUGCACUUGAUGGUUUCUAUCCUCUAGCUGGUCGUCUUGUCAAGGUAAAGAACGAAGACGAUACUGUUUCGUUUUUCAUCAGCUGCGAUGGUUCAGGUGUGGAGUUUGUUCACGCCGUGGCUAAAGACAUCCAGCUCAGUGAUGUACUUAAGCUGUCUGGUUCUGUCCCUGGUUUCUUCAGUUCCUUUUUCCCUGCGACCGGAAUCAAGAACUACCACGGUGUCUCAAGAUCUUUACUUAUGGUUCAAGUGACAGAGAUGAAAGACGGGAUAUUCAUCGGCUUCGGUUACAACUCAACUGUGGCUGACGCCAGUUCAAUCUGGAGGUUCAUCAACGCAUGGUCUGAGAUUUGCUUCAAGGAUUCGGGAUCCGAGACCUUGCAACGUCAUCUUCAACUCAAAGGUUGGUUCUUUGAUGGGAUUGAUUAUCCAAUCCAUAUCCCAGACCCUGAAACAAAACCAACUAGUUUUGUAACAUCAACCAAUUUACAAGAGAAGAUGUUCCAUGUCACAAAGGAUAAUGCUUUGAAACUGGAAGCUGAAGCCAACGGCGAGGCUGAUCAAAAGAUCUCGUCUAUUCAAGCAGUGUUAGCACAUAUAUGGUGUUCAAUGGUCGAGCACAGUGGCAUGAGCCGAGAAGAAGAGACCCAUUACAGGUUGCCUAUAAACAUGAGGCAAAGACUCAAUCCACCGCUAGGAGAAGAGUGUUUUGGGAAUGUGAGCCAGACCGGGAUAGCCACAGUCACGGUUGGGGAGCUGCUGGACCAAGGGCUAGGCUGGGCGGCUACGCAAAUCAACAAAAUGGAGCUGUCACAAACGGAUGAAAAAGCAAAAGAAUCUGCAGAGAAUUGGGUGAAAAAUGUCAAGAUUCCAGUUUCUGUUGGCAGCAAAGAUUUAGUGGUCACAAACUCACACCGGUUCGAUAUGUACUGCAACGAUUUCGGUUGGGGUAAACCGAUAGCUGCAAGAGCUGGACCACCGUAUCUCAAUGGGAGACUCGUUGUGUUCCAAGGAAUCGAUCAAGAGAGUAUUGAUUUUCAGGCUUGCUUACAGCCUCACGUAGUGGAUAAAUUAUUGAAUGAUGUUGGAUUUAAAGAGUAUGUGCACAUUGUAUGAGAUGAUUUGCUUCAGUAAAUUGAAUGUGUAACACUAAGCGAAACCACUGACUGGACUCUCUCGUGUUCAAGAUUCACCGAAUUCAAUGCAAUUUUUUCGUGCUGGAUUACCAUCAACGAAUCGAUUCAAAUACAUCAAGAGACUCAUAAACGGGAACGUACCUGACCGGAAUCGACUACGCUCGCCGCCGGAUUUGCCGCAAUCUGCCGAUCUCAGUCAAAAAACUUUCACUAAAAAAAUAUUAAUAAUGGGCCUAGGGAGUCUUAAUGGGCUAUCUCAGUAGUUUGGUAUUGUGCAAGUCUCGUGUCUAAGUUUAUGUGUACAAAAUCUAGAUAUGUAGUGCUUUUUGUUUUUUGUAAUGAGAUUGUAUCUAACCGGAUCCCGCUAGACUCGCCACCAGAGUUGAUAAUGGGCCUACGGACAGUAAUGGGCUCAAUUAUGUAACCCAAUAACGGUCUACCUAGCACAGUUUUUAUCCAAGUGUGAAACACGUUGUGUAGCUCAGUUUGUUUGGUAUGUGAUGUGUGAUCAUGUCUGAUUUGUACGAGGAUAAGUAAAUGUACUACCGUAGUAGUUGGAUAGUUUUUAUUCUCUGGUUGCGAAAUUAAAAAAAAAAAAAACAUGGGAGAUGAAGUUGUUGAAGUGAUCUCUAAGAGCAUAGUACGACCAGAGAGCUACAACGAGGAAUCGGAUCGGGUUAAGAUCCAUCUCACUCCAUGGGAUCUCUUCUUUCUUCGAUCCGAAUACCCACAAAGAGGUCUUCUCUUUCCUCAACCCGACCCGGAAACCCAAUUUGUCUCUCGAUUAAAAUCCUCUCUCUCCGUCGCUUUGAACAUCUUUUACCCAUUCGCCGGUCGUCUCGUCAAGGUCGAGAACCAAGACGACGGAACAGCGUCGUUUCACGUAGAUUGUGAUGGUUCAGGUGCCAAAUUCAUCCACGCUUCAGCUAAAUCCGUUUCGGUGAGUGAUGUUUUAGAGCCUCUCGAUGGUCAUGUCCCUGAUUUCUUGAAACGUUUUUUCCCGGCGAACGGAGUUACAAGCUGUGAAGGGAUCUCUGAUUCGUUAAUCGCGUUUCAAGUAACGGAACUGAAAGAUGGAGUUUUUAUUGGAUUUGGUUAUAACCAUAUAGUUGCUGAUGGAUCUUCGUUUUGGAGUUUCUUCAAUUCUUGGUCGGAGAUUUGCUUUAACGGGUUUGAUCCCCAUCACCGGAGAAAGUUUCCUCCUUUGCUUCUCCGUGGAUGGUUUCUCGACGGGAUUGAGUAUCCGAUUCGAAUUCCGACCUCAGAGACAGACACACCGAACCGGGUUGUUGUUACUUCAUCGUUGAUACAAGAGAAGAUUUUUCGAUUCACAAGUGGAAACGUCUCUGAGCUGAAAGCGAAAGCCAACGGCGAGGUUAGUGUUGAUGACCGGAAGAUAUCGUCGCUUCAAGCGGUUUCGGCGUAUAUGUGGAGAUCGAUAAUCAGAAACAGUGAAUUGAGUCCGGAAGAAGUGAUUCAUUGCAAGUUACUGGUGGAUAUGAGGCAAAGACUAGACCCUCCGCUUAAGAAAGAGUGUUUCGGGAAUAUGGUCGGGUUCGCUACGGCGACGACCACCGUCGCGGAGAUGCUUAACAAUGGUCUUGGUUGGGCUGCUUUGCAAAUAAACACAAGUGUUGGUUCACAAACGAAUGAAAAGGUUAGAGAGUUUGCUGCGGAUUGGGUGAAGAGACCGAGUAUAAUGAAUGUUAAGGCUUUGAGCAACUCUAUAGUGAUUGCUAGCUCUCCUCGGUUCAAUGUAUAUGGAAAUGAUUUUGGCUGGGGUAAACCGAUUGCGGUUCGAGCUGGACCGGGAAAUACUUGUGAUGGCAAACUCAUUGCUUAUCCUGGAACAGAACAAGGAAACAUCGAGAUUCAGACGUGUUUAUCGUCUACUGUUUUGGAAAAAUUAUCGACUGAUGUAGAGUUUUUGAAACAUGUAUGUGUUGUAUAAGUGAAAUCAUCCGAAUCAUAUGUACUUUAAAUAAAUUCACGUGUGAAUUUAUUCGAUUUGCUUAAGUUUUCAAGAGUUUCAUCUCUUAGAAUUUUGUUUGGCAAACCGAGAAAUAGAGUCUGUGCCAAACUCGUAUUGUCUGUGUGGAUACAAUUUUCUUCGUAUCAUCUGAUAUGUGGUCUUUGCUCUUUACAAGUUUUACAACUCAUGAUAUCUGUUGAAAAUUUGGAGGAUGUGAAACGAAUCUUUUCAGCAAAAUCUCUAUUUAGACAAGUUUCCUUCUUUACUGUUAUCGUGGAUAAAAAUCAUUGAAUACUAAGUAUAUGUUAUAUCAAAUUAUCAAUCACUAACAUUUAAAUAUUUUGUGAAGUAACAAAAAAAAAAUGUAUUGUUAAUGAGUGAAAAGAAAGAUCUUAAAAACGAUCCGUCGGGUGUGGCAUGUGCCACGUGGCGUACAAAAGAAAAAGACCGGGUAGAGUGUAUGUUUUUCCCACGCAAAAUGUUGGACCGUGUAAUAAAAACAUUUAAUUAAACCAUAUAAAUAAUUAAAUUAAAAACGAUUCAAAAGUAUGACGGAACGAUGACCACAUCUUCUGCAGUUAAACUGAAAAUGACAACAUCUUCUUCUUCUUCUUCCUCUGCAAUUAUGAUUAUGAACAUCUAUUGAUGAAAACGAGUUUCGCAUAUAUAUUACAAUCUUUUCUUGAUACAUAAAAGCUUCUGCAGGAUUUUGAUUGAAGAAGCUCUUCUCUUUACUCAUAUAUAAGUCAUGGAUGAAGAAGCAGCGAUCGAUCGUUUGCCGUUAGACCUUCUGGCUUAUAUAUUCUCGUUUGUUACUUCUUUCACCGUUUUGGCGCAGUAUGUGUUUCAUGAUCGUUUCAAAUUUUGAUCCUUUUUCAGUUCUUGUAAGAGAUUGAAGUUGUUUGUUGUCUUUUAGGGCAAGUGGGGUUUGCAAGAAAUGGAGGAAAGCUGUGAAUCAAUCGAUGGCGAGAAGAGAAUCUCUGAGCUUUGCUGGUUGGAGAAUGGACGACGAUUCUACUUCUCGUCUCGUUCACCUUGCUUACAACCUCAAAGAACUCGACAUGUAAUCUCUCUCUCUCCCUCUCUGUAUCUGCUUCUUCUUCUAUGAUCAAGUUUCCAGCUUUAUCUUCAGGGAGUUUGACUUGGUCAAAUACAAGCUCUGUUUUCUUCAUAUAGCUUCUGUUUUCAAUAUUUGUAGAUCUAGAAGCAGAUGGGGUUGUCAUAUUACUGAUAAUGGACUUCACCAGAUAGCUUCUGCAAGAUGUGUAGCCAAUCUAAACUCUGUCUCUUUAUGGGGCAUGACUGCCAUUACUGAUUCCGGUGUUGUUCAACUGGUAAUGUAAAUACUUUUUUCUUUAUAUGUGGAACUGGAAUCUUGAAUAUUUGUUCGUCACCUCAGAGAAUCUUGAAUUUUAUUUGACAGAUAUCAAGAACUUCUUCAUUGCAACACCUAAACAUAGGAGGAACUUUUAUAACCGAUGAGUCUCUUUUCGCCAUUGCAGAACGCUGCCAUCAUCUUAAGGUAACAAGGAUCAUCUAUAUCCAUCUACUUUUCUCUCUGGAAUCAUUAGAAUCACUUUCUGAAAUCGGAAUCCCUUAUUCAGACAAUCGGGAUGUGGUGUUGCCGCCAUGUGACAGAGAGAGGCCUUCUGGUUCUUGUAAACAAAUGCAGAAAACUUGAAUCCAUCAACUUAUGGGGAACUAGAGUUCCUGUGGAUUGCUUCAUUGCUUUACUUACUAUCAGUCCUGCACUUCAGAUCAAACCCAUUCAACUGCUCCUCAAUGCUCAGAAUCCUCCACCAUUGCUGCAUGCUGUCUAGUGUUGUUGUUCUACAUUUUACUUGCUUGUUGUGUACAUAGUAAUUCAUGAAAUUGAAUCCACAUAUAUAUUCUGUUCUCCCAUCAAUAACAUAUAUAAAAAUUAUUCAGUAAAGUUUCUAUUGGAGUAGAAUUGUGUCUAUAUAUAUAUAUAUAAGUUGCAUAACAUUCAACAGAAGCUGAAGACACACAUACAUAAGAUUUCUGCCUAUAACUCUGCAGUCUACAAUGCAAGAAUAAAAUCGGGCACGUUUUCUAAGGCAGCUCAUGUUUCCUGAACUUAGGAUCUCUCAUUCGUCCUAAAGAAGUGAUCAAGAUUCUCUAACCUAAGAAUCUCUCCAAAUGGUUUAAUUGGGUGUGUCAUAGUAGAAAAAUCAGCAAUGGAAGCCAUGAGAAGCAGAAGACAACAACGGUGUUUCGUGGAUAGACUGCAGAAGCUAAGGAUUUUGAGAACUGAACUGAACCUGAGUAGCUUCCACCUGAGUAACUUCCAGCUGUUGAAUCCAUGUUUGGAGUUCUUGUCUGUAGAGUAACAUUUUUGCAUGAACCAUAAGCUGCCCCUGGCUGUAACAUCAAGAACCAAAAUUCGGGUAGCCGUUUUAGAUGGUUUCAUAUCCGUAAGUAAUGUUAGCGCAAGUAGACAAGCUAUUACCUGGCAAGCCGCAAGAGUCUGACAGCCGCAAAGUACCGGUCCAUUCAUUCUAUCCAGAAUUUCAAAAACGCCGCCUCCAUCACUUCUCUGCAAUAUUAUGGUUUUGUUAGCAAAAUCUCGCAAAAACUGUCAUGUUUUAGUUUUAUGAUUGAUUCAAUACCAUGUAGAAGUUAACAGCUAGAAAGUUUGGCAUUCUAUUCCCUCCUGACUUGAGACAAGUCCCAACCAUCUCAGCAAGUGGAGCUGAGUGCUCCUUGCAAGCGUCUUUCUCAAUCGGAAUUGUCGGGAAGUAAUUCAUCAAGAAAAGCGAUGAACUUUUUGAGUUUAAAGGUUGUGACUCUUUUCUGUGAGGACAAGAACCUCGCUUCACCCCGGGAUCCCCAGCUUUACACAACAAUAAGAAAGUUGUAAGAGAAGAUUAUUCUCAGAGAAAAUUUAGAUAUCAAAGAUUUAAACUUUUUGUAAUAUACUCACACUCAUUUUCAACUAUGUAUCUCCAUUGAUAAGCUACACCUUCUUCAUCUUCUUUCGCAGCAACAGAAGUGAAAACCAGGAGUCUAUGAUUCUCUUGCACCAUAUCAGUCACAGUAGGCCAAUCUUCUCCCUUUUUGGGCAUUUUCGAAACAGGAAACCAGUAUUUGUCCAAACCAGCGUUCGCAAACAGAGUUGAUAAGCCUUUAGGCCUGUGCACAUAAUCUUCAAUUAUGAUAGUAACAAUCUCUGUUGGGUUCUGACUCAGAAAUGUCUCAACUUCCCUCAGUGUGUUAAUUGCAGGUUGCUGAUUCAAAAAGAAAACAAAUUUCACAUUAACCAAUCCAUUCGGGUUUCAACUUUCGAUCCAAACAGUUUAUUAGUUACGCUCAAGAAAUAUCUUACAAAAGCGGUGAAGUUAAAACAUUGCCCUCGAAGGGAAUGGCAAAGCCAGAUAUCGUUGUUGAAGUCAUACAUAUCCAGCAUUAGCCCUCUAACGCCAUUCUAGAGCAAAUAAAGAAAACAUAUUCAAGAGUUUUACCCAAGAAAGAGGAAUCCAAUAUAAGAGUUUGGAAAAUAAGGACAUUACUUGCAGCUGAUUAGUAAUGGUAUCUUCUUGAUUGUAAAAUGUAAUCCUCUCAACACCUGGCAAAGGCGGUGCAUUUGCAUUGCUAAAGGCAUUAUGAGUCAUCAACCAUGUAUACUUGUUAAAAGGCAAUCCAUUUAUCUACAACAGAAAACACAGAUUUCAUCACCACAAAGUUUGAACAAAUCUUCAGCAAGCAAAACCCAUCUUUAAGUUCAAAACUUUUGAUACAACCAAAUGAUCUACACCUUUUGCUACAACUAAUGAAAUCUUCAGCAAAAUCCAUCAUCAAAGUUCAAAACUUUUGAUACAACCAAAUGAAUUCUUCAGUAAAACCCAUCUUCAAAGUUCAAAACUUUUGAUAUAACCACAUGAUCUACACUAUUUUGAUAGAACCAAAUAAUAUUUUUAGCAAAACCCAUCUUCAAAGUUUAAAACUUGUGAUACAACCAAUUGAUCUACACUAUCUAUGAAAUACACAUUUUCAGACUGGAAAAUCAAAACCCAAUUAAAUGAAAAAAAAAACUAAAUCUUACAAUGGAAGUUGGACUUGUGGCUUGGCCUCUUGUGCAGACGGGUUUACUUCUCCCAACGGCAGGACAGUCUCCACAAUAUAAACCUGGGACACAAUCAGUGGCUGAGGAACAUGAAUCCAGCAUCUGAGAAGGACACACAGAAAAAAAUGCCAAAUCCCUAAAGAUUUAGACCCCAAUUUGAUAGCCAUAAACAGAGGAAUAAUAAGCAAAGAGAAUCAAGAACCUGGCAAUUUCCAUUAGAGCAAGCUGAGGAAAAAGAGAAGAAGAAGGAGAAGGGAAAAAGAUGUAGGAGAAGCGACACUGUUACGGCUCUGCAUAAGCCAUUGAUGCACGCCGACAUCGCUCCUUAGCUUAUGCAGAGAGAAAGAGACAAACAGAGAGAAAUCUGAGUGAUGUUCGAUCUACUGUAGUUGCUUGAGGAGGUUUUUCUAAGACAAGACAAAAGAGAUGUUUAGGUACUAAAACCCGGGCAUCAUUGAUAUGUUAAUCCUUGAAGAGAGGAACAAAAGAAACAGAUUAAGCAUCUUUUUUGUUUUUCUUUUCUUAGACAAAGGUUGAAUCUUUUUCCCACCUCUCCCAAAAGAGAAAAUGAAGAAACGAUUAGUAAAGAAGGUAACCCACUUGAUAAGUAAGAUUUAAGAAGAUAGCUCAAUUUAGAGCGACAAUUACCUUUUUAAAACAUUAUAAUAAACAACAGUAAUACAGUUUCUAGUGACUGUUUUGUCAAUACCUACUUGAAAUUUGUGGAAACAGUGUUUCUGCGGAAGAGUCUGUCAAAAAUUAGCAAUGAUGAUAUUAUUAUAUGUUGUUAAUAGUGAUAUAUAAUUGAUCUUUCUACAAAUGAUAUAGAGAUGUUGAUAAUAAUUAAUAAAUUAUAUACAAUUGCAUAAAUUAAAAUUUGUAUUCUUCAAUUCACCUAACCAAUAUAAUUGAUAUCUUUUUCUAAUAUGGCUAAACGUUACGGUGGUCACAUGCGUGGGGACACUCUUGUCUUGUUGCUUGUCUCUUUCUUUGCUUCUUUCAAGGGAAAAAAAAUGUCAUUAUUUUCAUAUGAUCACACAAAAGUUACUUCAACAUCUCACCAAUUUCUCUAUAUGGAAUAACCUUUAUAAUGUCUAGAUGAAACGAGGCGACAAAAAAAAAAAAAAAGAUGAAACUUUUAUCUACAUUAUCACCAUGCCUAAUUUGUCAUACAGAGACAUAUACGAAUCGACGACACUAGUGAGCUCUUUACAUAUCCAAUCUAAAAUAAUACGUGAUUUUGAGAGAAACCAAUAUUACAAUUUACAAAUCACUUCCAGUUAUAUAAAUCAAGUUUUUAUAGUUACUCUUGUGAUGUGUUUUUAAGAGACGUCUAAAAUGGGCAGAAGUCUAAUUAUCCUCUAGCGUCAGGCCCAUUUACGUAUUUAAUUGGAACUCGCUUCUGUUAAUUGGACCCAAAUGAUCUCUUUAAAGCCCAGAAGACUCAAGUAACGGUAUCAUCUAACUACCGGGAAAAACCAACUUUGCGUUUCUCGCUCCGGUUUAUAAAAAAAAAAAAAAAGGAAGCGUUACUUCAAAUGAUGUUGGAAAGCAGAAAUUUACAAAAAGACAGAAAUUAAUACAUUUAUUAGUUUUUGGCAUUAUAAAUGAUAGUUUCCAUUGAGAGUAAAUGCAAUUUAUAAAAUAAAGACAAUUUUAAUUAUAAAAAGUUAACUAUUAAUAAAGCAGGUUUUAAAACAAAUCUCCUUAGUCUAGCAAAGUUCCAAUUUGAUUAGCUGUCAAAGUAGUAUUUUCCUAGCAUCUGUGGACUCAAAUCUACCCAAAAAUGGUAAAUCGUUUGUCUUUUCCCCCUUUAAGUAGAUUUGUUAAAAACCAUUUUUAUCCUUAAAGUAGCUAAAAUCAUUUAAUCCAUGGGCAUGCAUGUGUGUAUAUGAAACUUGUAACUUAAUUUGGCAUUGUAUUUUUUUUCCUUUUAACAGAGGAGACACACAAGAUAUUGUUUUGUGGUGAUAAACGUCUUUUUUUCUUGUAUUAGUUUAUCAAAUUAAGACUAAUCCUGACCACUCAAGAAAUUUGCAUUUCAAGACAAGAGUUAAACCUAGUGUUACUUGUCAUUAUAAAUACUGUACAAGUUGAUUAGCACCUCCUUGUCACAUCAGGUAGAGUAAAUUUCUCCAAAAGUAUGGAUCAAGAGGGAGACGACAACAACAACAACUCUCGGAUCCCGGACGAGGGGGAGGAGGAGGUUGCUGAUAGCUCUUUUAGCUACCAAAGGCUUUUGCUUGACGACGACUGGGAACUUUGGGACACUUACCCAACUGCUGACGCUAAUGCCAUCCCACCAACAACUGAGUCUGAUUCACCUGACACUAACCCAACUGCUGACGCUUAUGCCAUCUCACCAACAACUGAGCCUGAUUUACGUCUAGUGGCACUUACUCGGGUAAUUAUCUUUUUUUUUUUCUUUUUUUUUUUUUGAGAGAGAGAGAGAUAGAGAGAAAUAAAGCUUUUGGAUAUAAUAGACUUGUGGAAAUUGUAUAGGUAGAAUUGAUCGAGGACUGGUUCAACUUAUCGAACCGUGAGCAAUCUCAAACAGCAUCAUCACUUAGCCAAGAUGUAUCCUCUCAUGAACUCAUCAUCGAGGUAUUUAUUUAUAUAUAUAUAUAUAUAUAUAUAUAUGCAUUAAAAUAUAUUUAGAGCUUAUGAAACAAUAUUAUCAGAACUAGGAUGAUAAACUAUUUACCCAAAACUUGAAAGAAAGAAAUAAAAAUGAUUUGUUUUCAUAUUUUGAUAUUUCGUAAAUUCUACGUUAUCAUUUGGCGCGUCUUUAUGUUUAGUUUUAAAUUUAUGUGUUUGCGAGGGAAAUUUUGAAUAUUGCCACUAUGAUUAAUACUGAAUCUAUGCAUCUUUUUAGAAGAAGUAGUGAAUAUUUUUGGUUUUUUGAGUAAAAGAAUUAUUAGAGUUUGUAUAAAGAAAAAAUUACUAAUGUAUUUUUUUUUUUUGAGAAAGAGAAAUAAAGCUUUUGGGUAUAAUAGAGUUGUGAAAAUUGUCUAGGUAGAAUCGAACAACGAGUGGAUCAGUGUGCACUAUGAAACAACAUCAUCGGCAGACGAAUAUGUAGAUUUUUUUUCUCACGAGAACAUCAUCCCAUACGAGGUAUUGUAUAUAUAUCUUAGCAUUAAAAUACAUUUAGAGCUUAUGAAACAAUAUUCACAAAACUAGGAUGGAAAACUAUUUACACAAAAUUCAAAAAAAAAAAGAUAAAAUUAUUUGUUUUAUAUAUAGAUAUUCUGUGAUAUCUACGUUAUUAUUUAGUGCGUCUUUUUGUUUGGUAUUUGAUUUUUGUGUUUGCGCAGCAAAUUUUGAAUACUGCUACUAUGAUUAAUAUUGAAUCUAUGGAUUUUUUUUUUGUUAAAUGAAGUGGUGAGUUACUAGCUUAGUAGUAACUUAGCUAUAAACUUGUAUCUUAGAACUUUACAGUUUUUUGGGAGAUAACAUUAAUUUUAAAUGCUUUUAGUGUUGGUAAUUUAGUCAGUUGUAUUUGUAUUUUCCAAAGAAUAACUUUCUUUGAUAAGGUUAUAUGUUCCAUUUUGGUUUCUUGAGUAAAAGAAUUGUUAAAGUGUAUACCUAAAAAUUUACUAAUGUUUUUUUUUUUAUCUUUUUGGAUAAAGAGAAAGAAAGCUUUUUUAAUAUAAUAGACUUGUGGAAAUUGUAUAGGUAGAAGUGAUCGAGGAUUGGUUCCGCCCAUGGAACAGUGAGGCGCAAUCCGAAACAGCUUCAUCAUCAGACGAAUAUGUAUUCGUUGUACCCUCUCAUGAAGACGUCAUCGCGUACGAGGUAUUGCAUAUCUAUCUUAGCAUUAAAAUAUAUUUAGAGCUUAUGAAAACAAUAUUCGUGGAAUUAGGAUGGGAAAAUAUUUACACAACACUUUAGAAAAAAAAUUGAAAUGUUAUAUUUUUUAAAAAAUUUCCUAGGCACAAAUUUUCAAUCGCCCACAAAAUGUAAGAGAAGGUGUCAACGCUGGGCUAACCGUUGAAGUCACUGAUGAGAACGUAAGAAGAAGGAUGUAUGAAAACAGCAGUGAUGAAUCGGAGAUAUGUGUGAUCUGUCAGGACAAGUUGAAGCAAGGUGAAGAAGCUUCGAAACUGGAUUGUGGGCAUGACUAUCACUUCGGAUGCAUCAGGGACUGGCUAAUGGUCAGGAACAAGUGUCCUCUUUGCAACCAGCCAGUUGUUUAAUUGUUUUAUUAGGGUAGAAACAUGUCAAGCUUGACUUGAUUUCUUAUUUCUGACUGCCCAUUGCUUUGCUUUUUUAAUUUUCCCUUGGGAUGCUUUAUGUAGUUUUCCCCUUCGGACCCUCUUUCAUUUUCUUUUUUAUGUUAAACAUAAUCUUCCGAAAUGCAUGCAGUUUUAAGUUUAUUAUCGCCCAAGACGGACGUUUCUUACCUGUGGACGACACUGGACAACAAAAACAAAAAGAAAAAAAAAAGAUUUAAGUUUUUUUUUUUUUUCUGUAAUAAUUUGUCAAAAAUGGUGAAACUGGUGCAAGACCUUACUUUUCAAGUAAUUGUCCUUUUUCAUGUUUAGUCGUAAUAAUAAUUAAAUAGUAUACUUUAUGACUAUCAAUGCUCUAUCUUAUCAAUACACUUGUUCAACCGUUUCAUUUACUAAAAUGGUUAAAUAUCUUUAUCUAUAUUUUACUUAUCACAUUGAAAGAAAACCAAAAAGAAAAUAAUUUUUUUUUUACUUUUUUCUACUUUUUUUUUUCCUUUUUUUACAUUUAUUUUUCCUUUUUUUUUUUUACUUUUAGUCCAUAAUAAUGUUUUAAAAAUAAUAACAUUUUACUUUUUUUUUUUCCUUGUUUAAAUUGGGUAAAAAAUCUAGUCAGUUCAUAGUUUGAUUUUAACUAUAUAGUUGUGUGAAGUAAAUACAAAAUUACAAAGGGAACUAUUCACAACAUAAGUGAUGUGAGUGAGACACCAGAUUAUGUCUAUAGGGAUUCGGCACGCCACUCACUCUUUAAAGCCCUCACGCGCUUCUCCUAUGGGCGUGUUCUCACGCACCUACCUCCCCGCCUAUAAUAAACCUUUUACUACGAAAAGCCACACAGUGUAGUAAACAGAGAGAGAGAGAGAGAGUUAUGGGUGAUUCUGACGUUGGUGAUCGUCUUGCUCCUGCAUCUUCUUCCGACGAACUCUCGAGCUUUCUCCGACAGAUUCUUUCCCGUGCUCCGACAGCUCAUCCUUCUUCACCACCCAAGACAAGUGUUUCCUCCGGUGAGACCUUCCCUUCCGUCGGUAAUGGAGUCGCUGAAACUAGCCAAGACAAAUACGCUUUCGAAAACAAGGUUAACUUGCUUUUUUUAGUUGCCAAGAAACUUCAAUGGCUUUGGUUGAGAAAGAAAACAAAACCAAAAUUUGUGUUUCUUUUUUUUUUUCUUUUGUAUGUAAUGUAAUGGGUAACACUGAAGAGAAAUGGAGGCAGACAGAAAAAUUCGUUGAAGAGAAACAUGGAUGCACACUUCCACAACUUGUCUGAAAAGGUUUCUUCUUUUUAUCCUUUCAAGAUUCCUAUUUUGAAAUGAAAGAAAACAAACAGCCUAACUAAUUGAGAGAUUUUAAUAACUAGAUGUUGUUUUUUUUUUUUUUUGCAGAAGAGGAGGAGCAAGAUCAACGAGAAAAUGAAAGCUUUGCAGAAACUCAUACCCAAUUCCAACAAGGUAUGAAAGAUGUUCGAAUCAGAGAUGUGAGAAACAGUGUUGUGUUUUGAUUUUAUUUUUUUCUUCUUCUUUUGUUUGUAGACUGAUAAAGCCUCUAUGCUUGAUGAAGCUAUUGAAUAUCUGAAGCAGCUUCAACUUCAAGUGCAGGUUCUCUAAUUACUUGCUUAGAUCAUAUACUAUCAAUGUCUGAUUUGCAAAAGCCAUCAUCUGAACAUAACUUAAUACCUGCUUAAUGCAGACUUUAGCCGUUAUGAAUGGUUUAGGCCUAAACCCAAUUCGGUUACCACCGGUUCUACCUCCAACACAGACAUUGAUCAAUGAGACCUUAGAGCAAGACCUGAACCUGGAGACUCUUCUUGCUGCUCCUCACUCCCUAGAAAUACCUCAAGCAAGCCAAGAAAUGUGCUUUUCCGCAGCCACUCUGUUUUGAAGAUAACAUUCAGAGACAGUGAUGAUGAUCCGGCGUCAAACUGGUCAGACUUCCUCUAGUUUGUGCCAGACGCAGGAGUCCAAAUGUUUUUUAGUUAUAGUAUUUGCCAGUUUUCAAUGUUCAGUUAUAGUAAUGCUAAUAAUGGGCUUUAGGAAUGAACAAAACUGAGUAGUUUGAUUAUAAUGAUGUCUGAAGAAGAUUAUAUAAAAGAUUAAUUUAGUUACAUGAGAUGAGUAUUACAACUAUCAAAUUGUUAUGUCUGUGAGUUGCAGCCAUCCAUAAUCACACCGGUCUCUAAUACUUCUAGUGAUGGCUGCUGCAGAUUCAACCGCAGGUCUUAUCUUAGUCAUUGCUUUCUCUACUUGAAUCCUCAUGCCAACAUCCAUCUGUUAUUUCAAAUGGCAGCCAUAACUUUAGGGAUAUAGACAAGAAAAAUUGAUGAGAAAGUUGUAAAGUAGAAACCUUUUCUAGAGAAUGUUGUGUGUCUAAGAUGUGGCAGAAGUACGACAGUUGCUUGUACAAGUCUGCUUCAGUGUACUGUAAUAAGACAAGGCUCAAAGUCAAGAGUUAGUCUGUGAAGCAAUAGAGAGAUAGGAGUUAUAAGGCUGAUGAGAGCGUAUACCUUUCUUAAGAGGGUUCCGUUACAGUUAGGAUAGUUUGGGCAAACUGUCCCCCGUUCACGUUCACCAAGCAAGCGGAAGUUGGGGGAGCGGGUCGUGUGCUUGCAAGACUCAUCAUCACACUGUUGAAGGCAUAAUGUACAAGAAAACGUCAUCAGCAUAACUUAAUAAAAAUUAAUGUUCAGAAUUACGGGAAAAAACGACGACAGAAGCUUUUACAUACCACCAUUAUGCCUUUGUAAUACAUUGACACAAAUCCAUCAAUCUGUCUUUUCACCUGAAAGGCAUGAGAAUGAUUUAAUAACUAAAGCAUCUGUCCUGCAGGCCAAAUCCUAACAAUAGAAGUUUUUUAUAUUCUGAGAAAAGUAACAUAUUAGUAUCCUUUUCAACAAAGUUUGACUACCUGGUUAGCUAUCAUAGCAGGGGAUAUUCUUCCAUUGCUAUCUUCCUGCUGACAUUUCGGGCAAUGCAGUUUAAGCCAGAAUGAGGAAUCAGAUUUCUCUGUUUCAGGUGUCACAGGUCUCUUACUAAUCGACGCACAAACAGAACUAGUAAUAGAUGGACAGUUGAAAGCAGUAGAGCAGCUGGGGCAUGUUAAGGCUAACGGCUCACAGCUUUUAUAUCUGCAUUUUUUACAUGUAAAUUACGUUGUUGGGGAUCUGAGUUCUAGGAAUAUUGCAAAUUCGUGGAGAAAAUAUAUGAUAACAGAUUACAAAUGGUAAAGAUAUCUCUACCUUUCUUCAUCGCUUGUAGCAAAUAAGAGGGAGUUAGAAGGAUCACUGCUCGCAGCAUCGUUUGAUUUACUUCGGUACUAGAAGAAAACAUUAUUUCCAAUCAGUUAUCAUGAAAUCACUGAAUAUGAAUCGAUAGUAUGCUUGAAUGAAAACUGUUUUACCUUUGAUGGGUCAAGUCCUAAACAUUCGGCUAGACGCUCAGGACUUGUUCCUUGAAUCUCUGCGCAUAGACGAGACACCACCGGAUGAAUCUGUUGUGCCAAGUAGUAAUCUAUGUCAACCAACCAUCUGCUGCCGUCUGAUUUCACCUCAUCAGGAUGCCUAGCACGCUCGGCAAUCCCUGCUGAACUGGCAGAGCUAGCAUUACCCUGCACCGAGGAAGCAUAAAAGACUUAGUAGGAAACCUAUAGGGUAUCUGAUAAUAAGUAGCUGGUCUUCUGAAUUGGAAACCUGUUCAUAGCAGAUUAUAUAUGGUACAGUAUCCUUAGCAUUGAAACCUUCUUUAUAACCACGUUGCCUCAUUCUGAGUGCAACCUGUGAAGAAUAAUUUGCCCACACAAAUCAGAAAGUUAAAUU
Molecule: long non-coding RNA, 37113 nt
Filed under: Capsella rubella
Lineage: Eukaryota; Viridiplantae; Streptophyta; Magnoliopsida; Brassicales; Brassicaceae
Description: long non-coding RNA (CRUB_LNC001188)
Source: RNAcentral